GCCAGUCGUGUUGGCGCAUGCUUGUAGUCCCAGCUACUCGGGAGGCUGAGGUGAGAGGAUCGCUUGAGCCCAAGAGUUCUGGGCUGUAGUGCGCUAUGCUGAUCAGAUGUCCACACUAAAUUCAGCAUCAAUAUGGUGACCCACCCCAGGAGCGGGGACCACCAGGUUGCCUAAAGAGGUGAAGCAGCCCAGGUUGGAAAUGAAGCGCAUCAAAACUCCCAUGCUGAUCAGUAGUGGGAUUGCGCCUAUGAAUAGCCACUGCACUCCAGCCUGGGCAACAUAGUGAUACCCUGCCUCU
Molecule: signal recognition particle RNA, 298 nt
Filed under: Saimiri boliviensis boliviensis (Bolivian squirrel monkey)
Lineage: Eukaryota; Metazoa; Chordata; Mammalia; Primates; Cebidae
Description: Metazoan signal recognition particle RNA (ENSSBOG00000002687.1)
Rfam family: Metazoan signal recognition particle RNA
About the family: The signal recognition particle (SRP) is a universally conserved ribonucleoprotein.
Source: RNAcentral